RNAcentral lists this ribosomal RNA (253 nucleotides) under uncultured bacterium. RNAcentral describes it as "partial 16S ribosomal RNA". It matches the Rfam family "Bacterial small subunit ribosomal RNA", at positions 524 to 776 of the family's 1533-position model. The record is from RNAcentral.
UACGUAGGGUGCGAGCGUUGUCCGGAAUUAUUGGGCGUAAAGAGCUUGUAGGUGGCUCGUUGCGUCGGGAGUGAAAACCUGCGGCUUAACCGCAGGCCUGCUUCCGAUACGGGCGAGCUAGAGUUCGGCAGGGGAGACUGGAAUUCCUGGUGUAGCGGUGGAAUGCGCAGAUAUCAGGAGGAACACCGGUGGCGAAGGCGGGUCUCUGGGCAGUAACUGACGCUGAGGCGCGACAGCGUGGGGAGCAAACAGG